AGAGUUUGAUCCUGGCUCAGGACGAACGCUGGCGGCGUGCUUAACACAUGCAAGUCGAACGGAAAGGCCCUUCGGGGUACUCGAGUGGCGAACGGGUGAGUAACACGUGGGUGAUCUGCCCUGCACUUUGGGAUAAGCCUGGGAAACUGGGUCUAAUACCGAAUAUGACCAUGCACUUCCUGGUGUGUGGUGGGAAGCUUUUGCGGUGUGGGAUGGGCCCGCGGCCUAUCAGCUUGUUGGUGGGGUAAUGGCCUACCAAGGCGACGACGGGUAGCCGGCCUGAGAGGGUGACCGGCCACACUGGGACUGAGAUACGGCCCAGACUCCUACGGGAGGCAGCAGUGGGGAAUAUUGCACAAUGGGCGCAAGCCUGAUGCAGCGACGCCGCGUGAGGGAUGACGGCCUUCGGGUUGUAAACCUCUUUCAGCACAGACGAAGCGCAAGUGACGGUAUGUGCAGAAGAAGGACCGGCCAACUACGUGCCAGCAGCCGCGGUAAUACGUAGGGUCCGAGCGUUGUCCGGAAUUACUGGGCGUAAAGAGCUCGUAGGUGGUUUGUCGCGUUGUUCGUGAAAACUCACAGCUUAACUGUGGGCGUGCGGGCGAUACGGGCAGACUUGAGUACUGCAGGGGAGACUGGAAUUCCUGGUGUAGCGGUGGAAUGCGCAGAUAUCAGGAGGAACACCGGUGGCGAAGGCGGGUCUCUGGGCAGUAACUGACGCUGAGGAGCGAAAGCGUGGGGAGCGAACAGGAUUAGAUACCCUGGUAGUCC
RNAcentral lists this ribosomal RNA (771 nucleotides) under uncultured bacterium. RNAcentral's name for it is "bacterial SSU rRNA". It matches the Rfam family "Bacterial small subunit ribosomal RNA", at positions 8 to 796 of the family's 1533-position model. The record is from RNAcentral.